Molecule: ribosomal RNA, 406 nt
Filed under: uncultured bacterium
Lineage: Bacteria
Description: partial 16S ribosomal RNA
Rfam family: Bacterial small subunit ribosomal RNA
Source: RNAcentral
AUUGAACGCUGGCAGCAGGCCUAACACAUGCAAGUCGAACGAGAAGAGGACGGGUGAGUAAUGUCUGGGAAAAUGCAUGAUGGAGGGGGAUAACUACGGGAAACGGUAACUAAUACCGCAUACCAUCAGAUAUUCCCAGAUGGGAUGAGCUUGUGGGUGGGGUAACGGCUCACCACGGCGACGAGCCUUAGCUGGUUUGAGAGGAUGACAAUGCACACUGGAACGGAGACACGGGCCAGACGCCUACGGUAGGCAGCAGUGGUGAAUAGUGGACAAUGGGCUAAAGCCUGAUCCAGCCAUGCCGCGUGUGUGAAGAAGGUCUUCGGAUUGUAAAGCACUUUAAGUUGGUAGGCGUUACCAACAGAAUAAGCACCGGCUAACUUCGUGCCAGCAGCCGCGGUAAUAC